AGAAAUGCAAUGAUAGGGAAGAGUAGGUAUAUCUUCAAAAUACAGCGAGCCGUGUUGGUGGAAGGCGGCAUGAGAGGAUUCAUCGAAAAUCACCCUUAAGCUGCAGGCCGAAUUAAGUAAGUGCUGCCGGGAAUUCCUGCCGUUAACAGGAAACAGUAUAUAAGUACUGUAAUUGAGAUGGGCUUUUAUGCCAAAUCAGGUGGUACCGCGAAUUUACCCUUCGUCCUGUUA
Molecule: non-coding RNA, 231 nt
Filed under: Oxobacter pfennigii
Lineage: Bacteria; Bacillati; Bacillota; Clostridia; Eubacteriales; Clostridiaceae
Description: T-box sequence
Rfam family: T-box leader
About the family: Uncharged tRNA acts as the effector for transcription antitermination of genes in the T-box leader family. T-boxes are found upstream of many aminoacyl-tRNA synthetase genes and some amino acid biosynthetic genes usually in Gram-positive bacteria. The anticodon of a specific tRNA base pairs to a specifier sequence within the T-box motif, and the NCCA acceptor tail of the tRNA base pairs to a conserved bulge in the T-box antiterminator hairpin.
Source: RNAcentral